CCAAGGGUUCGGCUGUUCGCCGAUUAAAGCGGUACGUGAGCUGGGUUUAGAACGUUGUGAAACAGUUCGGUCCCUAUCUACCAUGAUUUAAAGUUGCGAAAGGUUUUCCUAGUACGGGAGGAUCGGAAAACACCGGCCUAUUGUGAUCAGUUGUGUUUCUAUAAUGCUGCGCAAUGCUGAAAAGCUACGCCGGGGGGCAUAAUCGCUGAAAGCAUAUAAGUGAGAAGGCCUUUUCAAAAUA
This 241-nucleotide ribosomal RNA is filed under the name Amorphochlora amoebiformis. RNAcentral's name for it is "partial Bacterial large subunit ribosomal RNA". It matches the Rfam family "Bacterial large subunit ribosomal RNA", at positions 2565 to 2806 of the family's 2925-position model. Lineage: Eukaryota; Cercozoa; Chlorarachniophyceae. The record is from RNAcentral.